CGUUGAUUUGCCCCUCCUUUUCCUCCCAAAUUUCAUUUCCUUACAAGAAACCAGAAGCACUUGUAAGUACAUAUAUGUAAUAGAAGCUGACCAUAGACAGACAAGCCAAACUCUCUCUCUCUAGAAUUUCUUUUUCUUCUUUUUUUUUUUUUUGACCUGGUUUGGUUAUCUUUGUUUCAAGUAUAUGAUUCCUAAAGAAACAAACAAAGCCUUUCUCUCUUUUUCUAUCACCUUCUCUGUUCAUAGUUUCAUUAUUUUUUUUUCUUUUUGAAGCCUCUCUUACCUUAAUUUGGUUUCUGCCUUCUGUGAUGGCUGGUCGUUAUGAUCCAAACCCUUUUGAUGAAGAGGAAGCUAACCCUUUCAUUGACCCGGCUGAGAGGUCGAAAGCAUCAGGGCAGUCGAAGUAUAGUGGGAGUGCAUUCAACACAACAGGUGUUCCUCCUGCUUCAAACUCGAGGCUUUCACCACUUCCUCCUGAACCUGCUGGUUUUUACAAUUAUGGUACAACGGUCGACAUUCCUAUUGAUGCAGCUGCGGAUUUAAGAAAGAAAGAGAAGGAACUUCAGGCUAGGGAGGCUGAGCUGAGAAGACGGGAGAAGAGGUUAGAAGAUGCAGCUGCAAGAGCUGGAGUUGUCCUGGAAGAGAAAAACUGGCCACCAUUUUUCCCAAUUAUCCAUCAUGAUGUCGCAAACGAAAUACCAGUUCAUCUACAAAAAAUUCAGUAUGUUGCAUUAACAACAUUUUUAGGAUUGACUUUUUGUCUUUUCUGGAACGUCAUCGCUGUUACAACAGCAUGGAUUCAAGGGGAAGGGGCGAACAUCUGGUUUCUUUCUGUUAACUACUUCAUAUCAGGAGUUCCUGGAGCUUAUUUUUUGUGGUAUCGUCCACUCUAUCGUGCAUUUAGGACUGAGAGUGCUAUGAGGUUCGGAUGGUUUUUCUUGUUUUAUGUGCUUCACAUUGGCUUCUGCAUCUUUGCUGCUGUGGCUCCUCCUAAAAUUUUCAAAGGAAAAUCUCUCACUGGUAUUAUGGCUGCCGUAGAUGUUGUGGGUAACUAUACUAUAGCCGGGGCUAGAUGGUUAAUUGUUUCUCGUGCUUAUAGAUCUUCUACUUCAUCGGAUUUGGUUGUUUCUCUCUUGAGUCACUGCUAAGCAUCUGGGUUAUUCAGCAAGUAUACAUGUACUUCCGUGGAAGUGGCAAAGCUGCCCAGAUGAAGCGUGAAGCUGCUAGAGGAGCAUUGAGGGCAGCAGUUUGAUUCUAUGCUCUUGCUUGCAUUUUUCUUCUCUUUUGUUGAAACAUGGAUGGGAUUAAAUGUAGAGAUGCAUAAUAAUCUUGGGGAAAUCACGUAGAUAUCCAGUUGGUGUUUGCAAAGAGGUCAACUUGGAUCAAUCUUUUGCAGGGCCUCAAAACUUUGAACAUGUUUUAGAAUUUAACCCUUGGGGAUUGGAUUGGGUGGUAAUUUUGUUUGCUUCCCACGUUACCUUCUCGGGUUCAAAUGUACAAAGGGAGGCCUUGAGAAAAAUUGCUCUCAUGUGGAUAGCUUAUACAAGACCUGAUUGAAAGGAGACGGUUCGGGUGCCUGUUAGCAAACCAAGAACACCACUAGUGUUUACUGAACAUCUUAGAAAACAGGUUGGAGGGCUGUCAGGGAAAGGCUCUUUUCAACAUUUACAAGCUCGCUGAUACAUGGCUGCAGUAGUUUACAAGACACUGACAGGAUGAUUUAUUAAGGGCUUUAUUGGUACAGAACAGCCAAGAGUUCUAAUUUGACAUAAAAGAAGCAGAUCCCACGCAACAAUUUCCUAAGCAGAAUGCGUUCAAUUCAGUCUUUCAAUGGGAAGGAAUUGUUGCGAUGUAUAAAAAACAAAGCAAAUAUUUGAUAACAAGUGGACUCUUCAAACUUA
Populus nigra (black poplar) is the source of this 1901-nucleotide RNA transcript. It is a transcript of the gene named secretory carrier-associated membrane protein 3-like, with no coding region annotated. Lineage: Eukaryota; Viridiplantae; Streptophyta; Magnoliopsida; Malpighiales; Salicaceae. The transcript has 14 exons. The record is from RefSeq and is a predicted model, not a curated record.